RNAcentral lists this unclassified non-coding RNA (378 nucleotides) under plant metagenome. RNAcentral describes it as "partial contains 5.8S ribosomal RNA, internal transcribed spacer 2, and large subunit ribosomal RNA". The stretch from base 1 to 105 matches the Rfam family "5.8S ribosomal RNA", at positions 50 to 154 of the family's 154-position model. The record is from RNAcentral.
GAAAUGCGAUAAGUAAUGUGAAUUGCAGAAUUCAGUGAAUCAUCGAAUCUUUGAACGCACCUUGCGCUCCUUGGUAUUCCUUGGAGCAUGCCUGUUUGAGUAUCAUGAAAUCUUCAAAGUAAAUCUUUUGUUAACUCAAUUGGUUUCUACUUUGGUAUUGGAGGUCUUUGCAGCUUCACACCUGCUCCUCUUUGUUCAUUAGCUGGAUCUCAGUGUUAUGCUUGGUUCCACUCGGCGUGAUAAGUUAUCUAUCGCUGAGGACACUGUAAAAGGUGGUCAAGGUAAAUGCAGAUGAACCGCUUCUAAUAGUCCAUUGACUUGGACAAUACUUUUAUGAUCUGAUCUCAAAUCAGGUAGGACUACCCGCUGAACUUAAGC